This 87-nucleotide transfer RNA is filed under the name Candidatus Bodocaedibacter vickermanii. Its description in RNAcentral is "Candidatus Paracaedibacteraceae bacterium 'Lake Konstanz' tRNA-Leu". It matches the Rfam family "tRNA". Rfam says of the family: Transfer RNA (tRNA) molecules are approximately 80 nucleotides in length. Their secondary structure includes four short double-helical elements and three loops (D, anti-codon, and T loops). Lineage: Bacteria; Pseudomonadati; Pseudomonadota; Alphaproteobacteria; Holosporales; Candidatus Paracaedibacteraceae. The record is from RNAcentral.
GCGGUCGUGGCGAAACUGGUAGACGCGCAGCGUUGAGGUCGCUGUGGAUUAAACCCCAUGGAAGUUCAAGUCUUCUCGGCCGCACCA